RNAcentral lists this RNase P RNA (426 nucleotides) under Verrucomicrobiota bacterium. RNAcentral describes it as "Verrucomicrobia bacterium RNase P RNA component class A". It matches the Rfam family "Bacterial RNase P class A". Rfam says of the family: Ribonuclease P (RNase P) is a ubiquitous endoribonuclease, found in archaea, bacteria and eukarya as well as chloroplasts and mitochondria. Its best characterised activity is the generation of mature 5'-ends of tRNAs by cleaving the 5'-leader elements of precursor-tRNAs. Lineage: Bacteria; Pseudomonadati; Verrucomicrobiota. The record is from RNAcentral.
GAUUGAUGGCAGACGGUCGCUGGUGAGUCGUAAGAUUCGCCAGAGGAAAGUCCGAACACCAUACGGCAGCAUGCCGCGUAGAAUACGCGGGCGGCGUUCUCGAAAGCGACGCUGACGGAAAGUGUCACAGAGAAGAUACCGCCGGUUCUUUGAGAAAAGCGCAGGCAAGGGUGAAAAGGCGAGGUAAGAGCUCACCGCGUCCCGCGUAAGCGGGAUGGCAGGAAAAACCCCAUGCGGUGCAAGACAAAACAGGAGGAGGACAGCCGGUCCGCCAAUGCCUCGAAGAAAUUCGGGGCCGAUCUCCGGGUAUCGUCGCACCACGCUGUGUGAAAACGCAGUGGGCGUCGAAGAAAAUCGAUGAGAUAAAUGAUCGUCCUGGCUGAGAAAUCAGCCGGACAGAAUUCGGCUUACCGCCAUCAAUUAUGA